This 3184-nucleotide long non-coding RNA is filed under the name Sus scrofa (pig). Its description in RNAcentral is "lncRNA (ENSSSCG00000059232.1)". Lineage: Eukaryota; Metazoa; Chordata; Mammalia; Artiodactyla; Suidae. The record is from RNAcentral.
CAGCUGCUCUUUCUAAUCAUUACCAGGAGUUUGGGCCACAAGGCACGACCAGUAGGACCGAUAGUCCUCAGACAGCUUUUGGAAGUUCAGAGGAGACUGGAAAGGACUGGACAAGUACCCAAGAAGUACUCAGCAUCUUCCACCUGGACUACUGGGGGCUCAACCAAUCAUUUGAAAAGCCUUUUCUUAAUCGUUUCAAAGAAAAUGACCCACUCUCCUAGGCUCCUGAGUACCAAAGCCGGUUUAAAUAUGAAACUGAAUGGUAAUUAACACUUUCAUAAUUUUUACUUACUCCCAAAGAACUUGAAUGAGAGCGGAUGGUGUAAUGGUGGGGGUUUUGUCUUGCUAUACUAUUUAAAUCCUUCUGUGGUUCCAGACAUGAUCUCACCUAGGCUUGAUGUCCCUUUCAGGUGCUCUCCUCCCCUUGUCUGGGCUGUUGCCUAGCCUAAGUGGCUCCCACCACAGAGGUCUUUUUCCAUUUUCCCCAAUUCCUGUCAUUAUUGGCUGUACAAUUCCCCAAGAAUCUGUCCCCUUACUGCAGCUACUCACUUACUCCCUACACUAUCCCUGUCACUAAUAGCCAGCUUUUCUACAGAAUCUUUCCCCUCAUCCCCUUGGCACUCUCCAUCACUCUGGCAUCAUAUGUACCUCGUCACUUUUUCCUGAGAAGAUCCUUGAGGUUCCAGUUCUUUUCCCUGCCACCCCUGCCUACUGUGAGCUACAAAGCUGAGCUGAGACAUUUAACUUGUUUCCGAACCCACAAUCCUGUCGCUAUUGAAAUGGCAUUCAAAGUGUGAGUAUAUUCUUCAAAUCUCAUUUACAUACUUUACAAUAACAAGAGUUAACAUUUAUUGUGUGCUAACUCUGGCCAGGCACCCUUUGUUUUAAGUGCUUUGCCCACGUUUUCAAUUUAACUUGCACAACCCUUUUCUAAAGUAGGUACUAUUAUAUCGGCCCUGUCUUGGAAAUAAAACAGGCCCAGAAAUGUUAAGGAAACUUACCAAUGUCUCAUGUGUCUAAUAAAUGGCAAGGCUGGCUUUUGAAACAAAGGUAUUUGCUAUCAUAGUCCCAGUACUGAACUCCCUAUAUAUUAUCUCGUUUAUCACCCAUGGCAUCUGUCUCUUGGGGAGGGCGGGAUUCAUAUUGUUCCUGUUUUAUAAAUGGAGACACGGAAUUGUGGAGUGACUAGUUCAGGGUCACACAGCUGAAAAGGGACAGGACUUGAAUCCAAGUUCAGCUCUCUUUGUCUCUACUACCUUGCCUUGGGUACAAUCCAAAAGGGGCGCAGGCUUUUAUCAGCUUUGACCAUUUAUUUUACAUACUACUUAGCUGUCUUUAGAGAAAUCAAGCACUUUUGCUAUCAGGGGAUUCUGGAUUAGGAUUAUAGAUUUUUUUUCCCCUAUGAUUAAUGGUGAGCAGCCAUGUAAAUAAUCUAGUGCCUGAAGCUAAAAAUAAUCAAAGUCUGCCAGAAGGAAAUCAGGUGUCAGCCUCAUGACAGAAAGAAGGAAUUUAAGAUGUUCAAUUUCUCUUUCUUCUCCAUCAUCCUUUGUUUACCUGCAGAUCAGGGUUCCAGGAAUAAUGAGGUGGGUUUUAUGAGCAGCAGGUGCUCCACUUGGCUCCUCUCCUGGGCAGACAGGGAGCAGCAGAAAAAUAGUAACUGUCUUCAUCUCUAUAUAGUAUGUGACUGCUGGAUAGAGUUUUCUGAUGUCCUGUAUCUCACUCAGAUCUCACAACAGGGAGAGCAGAUUUUAUUAGCCUUGUUUCACUCAAAAGAAAGAGCAACAAGGAGUUCCCGCUGUGGCACAUGGGUUAAGAAUCUGCAGGAGUUCCCAUUGUGGCUUAGAGGGUUAAGGAGCUGAUGUCUUUGUGAGACUGUGGGUUCAAUCCCUGAACUUGAUCAGUGGGUUAAGGAUCUGUGUUGCCACAAGUUGCAGUGGAGUCUACAGAUGUGGCUCAGAUCUGGUGUUUCUGUAGCUGUGGCAUAGGCCUGCAGCUGCAGCUCUGAUUCCAUCCCUAGCCCAGGGACUUCCAUAUGCUGCAGGUGUGGCCUUAAAAAGAAAAAAUAAAGAAUCUGGCUGUAGCAGCUUGGGUUGCUGAAGAGGCAUGGAGUUCCAUCCCCAGCCCUCACAAUGGAUUAAAGGAUCCAGCGUCUUGCCACUGCAGUGUAGGUCAUAGCUGCCACUUGGAUUCAAUCCCUGGUCCAGGAGUUUCCAUAUGCCACAGAUGCAGCCAUCAAAAUUUUUAAAAAGAAGAAAAAAGGAAGAGCAACAAGUGGCUUUUUGGAGCUCACACCUAGCUAAUGGCAGGACUUGUAUUUUCCUGCAUUUUCCAUCCCAAAUUGGUGAAGCUACAAAGAGGAAGGAGGAGAUUAAGGGAGUUUGUAGGCCUCCCAUAAUGUGCUGUGCCCCCUCCAGCCAGCCUCUGGAUGAACAGUUGACCAUCACACUAUGAGCAAGGCAAACAGACUUAAACCCCACCCACCAACUGGGUGACCUUGAAUGUUCCUUUGGGGAAAUGAUAUAGCCACCAUCUCUAGGCUGGAGCCUUUUUCAUUCAUCUAUCCCCACGGUGGUGGAUGAUGGAUUUAGAACUGGUCAGUAUGAAUGACCAUAGAACCUUGUGAUUAUUUUUGACCUCCCAACUACUUUUCUGGGUUAGGUGACUUUUCUAAGUUACAUGAAAAUAUUGCUAGCUGAGGCUCUGGUUCCAUGAGUUUUUACUUUACUGACUACUAGAGGUAUUCUAAACAUCGAGAUGGCAUAUACUCUAGAAAUCUGAUCUAGGGAAACCUAAAGAAGAUUGGGUAACAUGGGAGAUGAACUGGCUUUUGAUUCCUAAAAUGUUAAUAAGCUGUAUGUAUGUGCUUAGUGAUUAGGAUUUGGAGAGCUUCUCCGCUUUAGAAAGGACCAUCAAUUCAUUUAUGUAGGAGAGAAGUGGGUUAACUUCGUGGGCCUGGGGAAAAAAAUGACAAUAUCUUCCACUGUUACUGGGCUGUAGCAAGAUUUCACAGCAAGCAGCCUCAGUGUAAUUCAACACAAUGAGAAACUGUUGUUCAAGUAAUUCACAUGAACCAUCUUUUGCCAGCUUCAAUUUUGUUCAUAGGCAAAUACAAAGUUGAAAAAUAAAUGCAAAGAAUGAUUUCUGAUUGUCACUGGGAUGGAAAAUAGAUGCUUAGAUUCUCACC